Molecule: ribosomal RNA, 460 nt
Filed under: uncultured bacterium
Lineage: Bacteria
Description: partial 16S ribosomal RNA
Rfam family: Bacterial small subunit ribosomal RNA
Source: RNAcentral
CCUACGGGUGGCAGCAGUGAGGAAUAUUGGUCAAUGGGCGCGAGCCUGAACCAGCCAAGUCGCGUGAGGGAUGACGGCCCUACGGGUUGUAAACUUCUUUUGCCGGGGAGUAACGGGCGUCACGUGUGGCGCCACUGAGAGUACCCGGAGAUAAGGCAUCGCCUAACUCCGUGCCAGCAGCCGCGGUAAUACGGGGGAUGCGAGCGUUAUCCGGUUUUUUUGGGUUAAAGGGGUGCGUGGGCGGAUCGUUAAGUCAGCGGUAAAGGCCCGGGGCUAAACCCCGGCGAGCCGUUGAAACUGGCUGUCUUGAGAUGUCGAGAGGUAUGCGGAAUGCGCAGUGUAGCGGUGAAAUGCUUAGAUAUUGCGAAGAACUCCGAUUGCGAAGGCAGCAUACCGGAGGCGAUCUGACGCUGAGGCACGAAAGCGUGGGUAUCGAACAGGAUUAGAUACCCUGGUAGUC